Molecule: non-coding RNA, 45 nt
Filed under: Echinostoma caproni
Lineage: Eukaryota; Metazoa; Platyhelminthes; Trematoda; Plagiorchiida; Echinostomatidae
Source: RNAcentral
ACACUGCUGACGAGUCCCAAACAGGACGAAACAGCUUUCAAGUGC